UGCAGUCGAACGGUGAGCAGAGCUUGCUCUGUGGAUCAGUGGCGAACGGGUGAGUAACACGUGAGCAACCUGCCCCUGACUCUGGGAUAAGCGCUGGAAACGGCGUCUAAUACUGGAUAUGUGACGUGACCGCAUGGUCUGCGUCUGGAAAGAAUUUCGGUUGGGGAUGGGCUCGCGGCCUAUCAGCUUGUUGGUGAGGUAAUGGCUCACCAAGGCGUCGACGGGUAGCCGGCCUGAGAGGGUGACCGGCCACACUGGGACUGAGACACGGCCCAGACUCCUACGGGAGGCAGCAGUGGGGAAUAUUGCACAAUGGGCGGAAGCCUGAUGCAGCAACGCCGCGUGAGGGAUGACGGCCUUCGGGUUGUAAACCUCUUUUAGCAGGGAAGAAGCGAAAGUGACGGUACCUGCAGAAAAAGCGCCGGCUAACUACGUGCCAGCAGCCGCGGUAAUACGUAGGGCGCAAGCGUUAUCCGGAAUUAUUGGGCGUAAAGAGCUCGUAGGCGGUUUGUCGCGUCUGCUGUGAAAUCCGGAGGCUCAACCUCCGGCCUGCAGUGGGUACGGGCAGACUAGAGUGCGGUAGGGGAGAUUGGAAUUCCUGGUGUAGCGGUGGAAUGCGCAGAUAUCAGAGGAACACCGAUGGCGAAGGCAGAUCUCUGGGCCGUAACUGACGCUGAGGAGCG
Molecule: ribosomal RNA, 683 nt
Filed under: Microbacterium sp.
Lineage: Bacteria; Bacillati; Actinomycetota; Actinomycetes; Micrococcales; Microbacteriaceae
Description: bacterial SSU rRNA
Rfam family: Bacterial small subunit ribosomal RNA
Source: RNAcentral